RNAcentral lists this ribosomal RNA (423 nucleotides) under Rhinella marina group sp. ABGD cluster 38. RNAcentral describes it as "partial large subunit ribosomal RNA". It matches the Rfam family "Bacterial large subunit ribosomal RNA", at positions 1835 to 2457 of the family's 2925-position model. Lineage: Eukaryota; Metazoa; Chordata; Amphibia; Anura; Bufonidae. The record is from RNAcentral.
CUUGACUCUUAUAAGAGGUCCAGCCUGCCCAGUGACCAUGUUCAACGGCCGCGGUAUCCUAACCGUGCGAAGGUAGCGUAAUCACUUGUUCUUUAAAUGUGGACUAGUAUGAAUGGCACCACGAAGGUUAUACUGUCUCCUUUUUCUAAUCAGUGAAACUAAUCUCCCCGUGAAGAAGCGAGGAUAUAUCUAUAAGACGAGAAGACCCUAUGGAGCUUUAAACAACACAGCAAUUACCUGCUAAACUAAGAAGUUUCUGAACAUUUUCAAUCUUUUAAGUAAUCUGACUGCAAGUUUUUGGUUGGGGUGACCACGGAGCAUAACACAACCUCCAUGUUGAAAGAAUUCUUUCUAAGCCAAGAACAACCUUUCUAAGCAUCAAUAUAUUGACAUCCAUUGACCCAAUACAUUUGACCAACGAAC